GCCCUCGGUGGCUCAGAUGGAUAGAGCAUCUGCCAUAUAAGCAGGAGAUCCCAGGUUCGAGUCCUGGUUGGGGCA
This 75-nucleotide transfer RNA is filed under the name Schistocerca americana (American grasshopper). RNAcentral's name for it is "tRNA-Ile". It matches the Rfam family "tRNA". Rfam says of the family: Transfer RNA (tRNA) molecules are approximately 80 nucleotides in length. Their secondary structure includes four short double-helical elements and three loops (D, anti-codon, and T loops). Lineage: Eukaryota; Metazoa; Arthropoda; Insecta; Orthoptera; Acrididae. The record is from RNAcentral. RNAcentral also lists the same sequence under 1 other name.